This is a long non-coding RNA of Triticum aestivum (bread wheat), 8367 nucleotides long. RefSeq lists it as uncharacterized. The record is from RefSeq and is a predicted model, not a curated record. The transcript has 10 exons. Lineage: Eukaryota; Viridiplantae; Streptophyta; Magnoliopsida; Poales; Poaceae.
ACGCUCCUCUCGCCCCUCCUCUCGAUCCACCCCCUUUCGCUGUGUUUUCUCUUUCCCUCGUAUCCCACUCCGCCGCCUCCCGCCUUCCUCCGCCGCCGCCGCCCCUCACCCUGCCUGCCUGCCUUGGUUUUUGGGCAUCCCACUCCUCCGCUGCCAUAUGCCGCCUCCACCAAGAUCCGAGGCCCCCCACUUGUGGGCCGCCGCCGCCGCCACAGAACCUCGGGGAAGGGCGGGGCAGGGCGCAGUCUUCCUCUUCCGCCGCCAUCUGUUCCCCCUCCGCUCCCAUCUGCCGCCGCCGCGGAAACGUGGGACGCCGCUGUCGCUGCCGCUGAAUCCAAGGGACGUCGCCGCCGUCGCGGAUCGGCAGGACGCCGCCGUCGCAAAUCGGCGGGACGCCGCCACCGCUAUCGCCUCGGAUCACCAGGAUGCCGCCGUCGCAGAUCACCAGGUCGCCGCCGUCGGCUCCGAUCUCACACGCCGCCGGCGUGGCCGUGACGACUGAUGAGCACGCUCAGCCCCCAUUCCUGCCACAGGGGAAGCUAGAGGCAGAGAACCGUCGGUCUUGCAUAUGUCAGUGACGGUCGCUGAUCAGGUUGUUGCGCGCGAAUGACAACAAUUGGUUCAUAACGAACCAAUAGUAGGACAUGCCGUUCGACCUUCUUAUAGAAGUGAACAAUCAUUUCUAGAGCAUUAUAUUAGCUGGACUUUUUAUGAGGUAUGAGCAAGUUGAGAGUUCCGAGUGGGUAUAUUUUCUGAGUUCCUAAAUAUGAUCAGUGGGCUGGCGCCGAAGUCCAUCUUGACAGGUAGGUAGAUUGAGAUAAUUUGUAUGUCUCAAGGUUGUUAUCUGGUUCAUUAGUGUGCUGAGGCUCUGUAGAUCAAAACAGAGCCAUGAAGGUUGCUAUGAGCAAACUAUGUCCAGGGAAGGUCAUGGCUAAGGAAACGGGACUGGCGGAUUUCCCCCUCGUCGUGGACAAGACGUCAUGACACAGUUGUGAUGAGGUGUGGCGCAAGCGUGGCUGUAGGAUCCCUCCUAUGAAGCCAGGCAAUGACAUCAUCGGAUCCUCGCUGGUAUGCAGAGCUGUCGCGUGGAUCCGACAGGUGGCAGGGACGUGUGACUAAUCAGGUACAUGGCCUUGGUUCCACAUUUAAUGUUACCAAGUUCUUAAUCUGUCAUAUUGCUUCUACCGUUCAGAUAUCUGAUGCCAUUACAGAUGGUGCUGAAGGAUCUUGUAGUAUGCAAGUAUGGAGCAAUUUAUAAAAUGGCUUGCAUGAUGUCACUUGUCAUCCUUGGCAUCUUAUCUCUUUCGCACUACUACCUGCAGCUGGAGGCAUCAUGCCAAGGAAGCUGAUUUCUCAGCCAUGGCAUGGCUGUAUUUAGUGUGGCACUACUUUAUGCAACAUUUUAUGUUUGUCUUGGAGUAUAGAUUCACCUGAUUCAAUGAAGGUUACGGACAGUAAGUAACUUGCAAGCAUGAAUUUUUUCCACCAUUAAAUCUACUCCUUUUUUCCUAUGUUUACAUGCCCCCACAUAUUUACGGGUUCAACUUUUGACCAACUAAUCCUGGGUUAGUUCAUAAAAAUUAUACCAUUGAAUUUCUAUUAUAAAAUAGUUUCCAGCAGUAUAUAUAUUUUCUGACAUGUGAAUCAUCUAUUAUUGGUCAAUGUUCAAACACAAAACCUGAGGGCGCCAUGUAAAUAGAGACGGAGGUAGUAGUUAUUAGUUUUCACAAUGUAUACAUUUUUAAACUAUCAGUUUCUUUUAAGAAUUGAUGCGUACGCGUUCAAUUGAUGUCGCGAAUUCAACAAGUGCUUUGAUGUCUCUGUCUACAAGUUUGUGAGUUAGAUUGGUUCAGUAAAUGGCUUAAACUGUUGGAGGAGUCUGUGGUUGUGAUGGUACGUUCAUACGUUGUUGUUGGUAUCGUUCGCUUCCUCCCCCGCAGUGCUCCAUCGUCGAUGGAAGGAUCUCCUCGCCGAUUUUUUCCAAACAAACCGCACCCCGUCUGUUUGUUUCCAUUCAAAUUUCACUCCCAUGACAUGACAACCGAUCCCUCCCCAUCCUACUCUUUCCUUGCAAAAGCAUAACAGAAUCGAAACUUGCCUUGCCUUGACCGACACAUUCCCAGCGGAUUUCACAAAUCAAUCUUCAUCCAGUCCACCGCAGUUCCCGCUGAUCCCCUUUCAUCAUCCCCGCCGCCCCGCCUUCCAAUUAGCCAUCUUUCAUUGCAAUCAUCGAGCCCUACCAUGCAAGCAGUCCUACGAGGCUACGACUGUCGUGGUGCUGGUGGCCUCCAGCGCGCUCGCCGGGGCCAGGGGUGGACUAAGUUUCGGUGCUGUCUCUGGUGGAGACUACGGGAUGCGGCUGCACGAGAAGAACCUGCAGAAGAAGAUGCCGGUGUGGACAGAGAGGCGGACGCAGCAGGAGGCGUGUGUGGCGCAAGCGCGGGCUUAACUUGCGGGCGCGGAUUAGGGAAGAGGCCAUCUCGGUGGCGGCUUGUGACCUGGGGGACGCGCUAGCACGCGAGCCCGGUGACCAUCAUGUGUGCGUUCUGGACGUACCAUGUGGUGUAUGCCACAAUGCCAUGUGGGUUGGGCCUGCAUGAAAUGCUGAUCUGUAGCAGAUCCUCCAUCGCCUCAUCACUGGCUGCUCAAGGGCAGCAUCACACACCAAGGCCUGUGACAACAUCUUCAUGCCCAACUCUCACUCCACAUGGGAACGACACUGCUCUAUUGCUUGCUUAUUUAAGAUCAUGGCAAUCAUUUUAUCUAGCCUAUGUGUUUCUAAUUUUCUCCCCUUAUUGUUGCAGGUUAGAGUGCAGCUUUCAGACACUUCUUUCUUUGGGAUAGUUGGAAUACUAUGACUAAAUAUAGAAGAGGCUCAAAUGGUAAUGCUAUCAGUGUUUGCCCCUUCCGUGAUUUAUGCGUAGCAUGUAGACUAUCAGCGACAAUUUGAGCCUCUUUGUGAAGUAGUUUUGUAGGGUAUUGCUUCAAGUCAAGAAAAUAGCUUCCAAAGAUAGUUUAACCGAAGAGCUUCUGAUCUCUACAUGUGAAUGAUGCAGAAGCAUAUUAGUCAUGCAGAAAUAAUCAUAUGCUGAAGGAAGGACUUGGAACUGUAACUAAAAACAAAAUGAAAUGAAGAUGCAUACCCCCAACCUCAACUGUUGUGUCACCAUCGAGGACAUCUAGCUGCUUGUUAUUCUUCAGUUACUAUUGCUCUUAAGAUUCAUGUCUUAGAUAUUCUUAGGAGAGAAAUUGUAUGGAAUUUAAUGAUCAUUCAUCUCAACAAAUAUACGUGAUAUUUCCUUGUAAAAGGUUGCCUACCGAAUUUAUGGCCUACUAUUAAAGGGGAGUUUGUUUCCACUUCCACCACCUCUCGUUCGAUCCUAACCUCCUUUGGUUUUUUCCCUUGCAGCGAUUCCUCACUCCCACCGGUUUGUUUAGGAAUGGAUGCCUCUCCUCCCAUGUCCAGUUUUAGUGUUAGUUUUUGGCUCUAAUAAUCUCGUUCGACCCACCGCUACAAAUAGAUGCCACACCGCUCCUUUUGUUACGAUGGACUCAUGUGAGGCCUCGACAGACCCACUUCCUUACAGCAAAACGAAAACAAUCAACCAUCAAUCAGAAAUCUCCCUGAUAUUUCUUUCCUUCAGAUGCAUACAUAGCAGCCCAGGCCCAGCAGAUCUGCAUUUCCUUUCCUUUCCUUUUUUUGUUACACCUUUUCUUCUCUUCUUGUUAUAUCAUUUCGAAAAGAUUGAUCUACACGAUCGUCGUCUAUUCGAGACUCAUCUAGACAUGAAAAAUAUGUGCAGACUCUAGGAUACAAAUAUGCGUCAUAGAUCUACUUAGUAUAUGUACGCAAUAAAAAAUUUAAAAGGCCCAUAGCAACGCACAGGAUUCUACUGGUUGAUGUUACAAAUUGUUUAGGCCCUAGAUCUCAAGUAGCAGCUCUAACAGGAAGGGAAUAAAGUGAACUAUUAGUUGCUAUUGAUGUUACAUUUAAACCUUUGCGAUUGCUAGACAGUAGAAAUAAUUGAAAAUAUUCUCUUCUUUGCUUUCCAAUUGGUAGUAUUCAAGAUAACAAGAAAUCCAAUAUUGUUGUUUCUUGUGAAGUGUAGUUCACUUUAUUCCCUUCCUGUUAGAGCUGCUACUUGAGAUCCAGAGCCUAAACAACUUGUGACCAUAGACUGCUGAGAGUUAUCAUAUUUGAUCUUCAAGUGCAAUCCUUCAGUUGUUCUAUUGCAUCUCCGAGCCAUAUUAGCAUACAUUUCCAAUCAACAAUUGACUACUGGGUCAGUUAUUACUAUCUCUGAGAAAUUCUUUCUUAAUUUGUCCUAUAAACAAUUAAAUUCAUUAUUGGCCAUGAAGUUCACUGCAAAUUUGCUGCGCAGUUUUUAUUUCAGAGAUACAUGUGAAUAUUUUUUUGUUUAUUACUUUUGCCGAAUAUGAAUAGUUCAUUUGAGAUCCCUCUAACAAAACACGAUAAGAAAGGGGAAGAAUUAACCUACAGGGAGGCAUGAUCGAGGUCGUUGCUCAUGCAUGUUUGAUGGCAUUGUUUCAGGCGCCCACCGACUGUGUGUAUGCCUGUUACCUACGGCGUCGUUGUUUCUUCCCUCGGUCGAGCGUGGUCCACCAGCCACUACCUGUAGGCAAUAGCAUUAGGCCGGCAACUAUCGCGGAUCAAGGGUACAAAUCAACCAGACUAGGAGAGGGGGUGGUGGUCUACGUAGUGGCAGGGAGAGGAAGCGAUGGCUGACACCAAGGCUGGGAGAGGAGCCGGCAGAUGACUCUAUGGCGGGACAAGAGGAGCAGUGGCAGGGAGAGAAAGCGGGACUAUGCCAUGUGAGUUGCUGAAGUUGUGCCUUGUGAGGUGGGGAUAAGGGAUGUGUGUUGUGCAUGUGUAGUGAGAGGCGUGGAGUAGCUUUUCCUUUUUGAGGGAGGCUGUUUAUUUGUCUAGAACAGAUUAGCUUCUUUUCCUUUCUCCCUUGUGAACUGAGAGGAGUGGUUAUUAUGCCACGAGAGAAGUGUCAGAUAUUCUAGAAAUAGCAAAAAAUGUUCUAAAGAUAAUAGCCAAACAAGUGAUCUAGAGAAUGUCCUAUGUUGCUACAAAGCAGGAUGUGACUCACUCCACACAUGCAUACCAUGUAUAUAUUUUGGACUCACUCUACAUCACAUUUGGUAGAGAAUAAAGCUAUGAGAUAUCGAAAUUACUGAGAUUUUCAAGGGACUUCAAUAACGCACUUGAAAUAGCAUUUCACAACCUAUAUUCUCUGUCGGCUGAUAUUCCAAUGAGCACAGACAAGUAUAUUUAUCUAUUUUAUUUUCAUAAUCAAGAUACAUGCAAUUAUUUUAUCAUCAUUAUAUUUAUAUUCUAGAUAAUAAUAAUUUAUUCGUUACAAGAGUGUGUUGGGUUAUUUUGUACUGCCGUCGUUUCUAAAUAUAAGUCCAUAUAGAUAUUUCUAUACGAACUGCAUACGGAUGUAUAUAGACAUAUUUUAGAGUGUAGAUUCACUCAUUAUGCUCCGCAAAUAGUCUGUAUUGGAAUCUCUAAAACAACUUAUAUUUAAGAACGGAGGAAGUAUAUGAUUUUAUGCUCUUCAUGUAUAUGUUGCCAAAUUACAUUUUUAAUACAUUGCAACUAAAAAGAAAUAAUGGAGAUGCAAGUGAAGUGGGAAAAUGGAAAUACAUUGCAUCAAGUAUAUAAGUCGACUGUUACUGGAAAUCUUUUCUACACAUGUGAAAUUUGAAGGGCAUCAUGUUUCAAUAUGCAACCAACAAAAAUAUUAGAAGGCCCGUGGCAACGCACGGACAUUAUACUAGUAUGCUUUAAUUACCCACCAUACCAUUGGGUUACCAUCCACAGAAACACGUUCCGUAAAAUAAAAAACAAUUCCGAACCCUCCUGCGGCCAUGCCCUCGGGCAGUUUUUGCCAUCGCCCCCACCUCGUCCCCCACAUCCUCCCCCACCAGCCACCGUCUGCACGGCCGUCGGACCGCCGCGCCCACGCUCCAGGCGCUCGGGCCGCCACGUCCAUGCGCCGCCGGGUCCGCCCCCUCCCAGCCCCGUCCACGGGACGCCGCGCCCAGCCGAGCCGCCGGCGCGCCACCCGGUCCGCCCCGUCCACACGGGCCGCCGCGCCCAGCCGAGCCGCGUCCACUCCCCUCCACCAUACCCAAUCACGCCUCCACUCCCCUCCACCAUCGACAACAUUGAAGCCAAUCCCACGAUCCACUCGGACGUCAACUGCUCCUCCCCAACCUGCCUCGAGCCCUCGACGCCUCCCCACCGCUGCGCUCUCACUCCUUGCCCCCACGCGCCACCGCCAUCCCUCCUUCCUGCUACCGUCGUCGUCGCGCCUCGCCCUCCUCCAGGUGGAACGGCUACCAGCAUGGUCAGUGUCAUUUUUUCCUUCUCUCGAGCGAAACGGCCUUAAUAUAACUCGUUGUUGCCGGUGAGAGCAAAGCGGAUGCAGCCCUAGAUCAAGCCAAUUGAUCUUUCGCGGCGUGGGAAGACGCCGGGGCGCUGGACUCGCCGCCUCCCCUCCCGCAUACCUGAUUGUCGGCUAGCGCUCAACGACGAGGGAUACACCGCCGCUGGCCGGGCGAUGUGGUUUUUGUUUUCAGGUCCUAGGGAUUUUACAAGCAGUUGUUUGACCCUACUAAUUUCCGUCGGAUGCACAUAUUCCAGAGAACAGUACUCUUCUUAUGGUUCUACUUGCAGGGAUCCCCGUGGGUUGAGGGCGUCGAGUCAAUGGAGUUAUGUGCGGCCACGGCAACAACACGCGUGGAGCUGUUCCCAGUAUGGUCGUGCAUUCAUUUUACAUGUUACUUCUGUGUUCCCUGGAUAGGUGUGUUGUGCAGACCUGACAUAGGUUGUGUUGGACACUAGCAAGUGUUCCCUGUCGCACCUGAAAAAAAUCAUCUUUGAUGCAGAAAGUUAUAGUCACAUCUUUUGAGAAAUCUUGUCAGAGGAAGAGAUGAUGGUCUUUACAGAAUUUGAAUCACGGGAGAGUGAUAAAUAGAGGGAUGCUUAAUUUUGAGGGGCUGGACUUCUCCUCCAGGUUAAUGGUAUUCUUUCUCACAUGAAGCAUAGGAUUAUAACUACCGGGAAGCACAUGAUGUUGUUCAUGAAUUCGACAGUAAUUUUGAGAAAAUAGGGAGAAGAAAAAUGUAUGACACAAGAAGAGAUACCUCUAGAAGCAGUGGAAACAGGUCUGCCUUGUAUCUCUUUCAUGACGGAUCUUGAAACUUGUACUGACAAGAGAACGGAGGAAGUGAAGAAAAACACUUCACAUGACAUCAUGAUAAGCUCUAUUCUGUUGUAAACAUGUUUGUAGUACCAUUUAUCAUCAAUCAUUUAAAGUGUCAUUAAGAGUAAAAUGACAUUCUCUAUGUGCUCUAGGUAAACUUUGAGUGGAUACACAAUUCCUGUUUUUUUUGUAUUUGGUCAAGCAGAAUAAUGUAUGAGAAAAUAAAGCUCUUUCAUGUAUUCGUGUUAUAUGUGGGAAUAUUAUUACUGGUUUUGCUACCGUAACAUACAAUAUUGCAAGUUUGGCAGAAAUAAGUGACUACUGGUCAGUAUAAUCAUAUGAGGAUAAUAUCGGGGUACAAGAUCCUUUCCUGUUUUUCAUGGAGUUAGAGAACAACAUGGUGUGUUGCAUGUUGCACAUUCAGGAUUGCUACAUGAUUAGCAUGUGACUUUAGACAAGUGAAUGUCUAACUGACAUUGUCAAGUGACAGCGAGAAGAAGAACGUUUCAGCUUGUGGAGUAUCUUCCAAGUUAGAUAUACCAUCCCGCAAGGUAUGGGCGUUUUCAAGCUGUCCCUCGAGUUUUUCAUCAUGCUCUGCAAUGAGAUUUUCUACCUCUUCAUGGUCAUUGUCCUGACAAGCAAAGUCCAAGAUGGGUAGAUUGUCGUUCAUUCGCUUCGUAUCUGGGGGAGGAUAUGCAAUAUAGGAAAACUUGACUAAGCUUUGUGAAAUUUUGGUUCCAUUGGGUGACUUUUAUUUUCCUUUGAUGGCUAGGAUGCACAUGUAAAAUCACAUAAUUUGAUCCUCCCGAGUCUGGUAGAUUCGCUACCAAUAGUCGACUUAGCACUUAUCUUGUGCUGCAUAAUUGUUUCAGACUACCAUCCUUGUACAGCAGCAAAUCAACUAUGUGCCUCUUUUGAGAAGCAAAGAUGUUGAUUGUCUACCUUGAAGGUUAUAGUUGCUAAAGAGUCUACACAGGAGAAAUAUUUUAUCUCACAACUUUCACUUGAUCAGUCUAAGAAUGAAAGGAAGUAUGCAUUAAAUAUACAAAAGUCUCCAUAAGGUUAGAUUAAGACGGUAGUGUCCUAUCUUUAAAUCCUCCAAGAACGCUAGAAACUAAUUUUAUUA